CUUGAACGCUGGCGGCAGGCCUAACACAUGCAAGUCGAGCGGAUGAAGGGAGCUUGCUCCUGGAUUCAGCGGCGGACGGGUGAGUAAUGCCUAGGAAUCUGCCUGGUAGUGGGGGAUAACGUCCGGAAACGGGCGCUAAUACCGCAUACGUCCUGAGGGAGAAAGUGGGGGAUCUUCGGACCUCACGCUAUCAGAUGAGCCUAGGUCGGAUUAGCUAGUUGGUGGGGUAAAGGCCUACCAAGGCGACGAUCCGUAACUGGUCUGAGAGGAUGAACAGUCACACUGGAACUGAGACACGGUCCAGACUCCUACGGGAGGCAGCAGUGGGGAAUAUUGGACAAUGGGCGAAAGCCUGAUCCAGCCAUGCCGCGUGUGUGAAGAAGGUCUUCGGAUUGUAAAGCACUUUAAGUUGGGAGGAAGGGCAGUAAGUUAAUACCUUGCUGUUUUGACGUUACCAACAGAAUAAGCACCGGCUAACUUCGUG
This 484-nucleotide ribosomal RNA is filed under the name uncultured bacterium. RNAcentral describes it as "partial 16S ribosomal RNA". It matches the Rfam family "Bacterial small subunit ribosomal RNA", at positions 30 to 507 of the family's 1533-position model. The record is from RNAcentral.